GGGAGACAGUGGAUUUAUAUCCCACACAUAUCACACAGGCCACGAGCAGCUUCCCUUGCACAGUCUUGUCAUGCACUUUUUUCUUUUCUUCCUCUCCUUCUUAGGGUUGGUCAGAGCAGAAGCUGGGAGGAGUGAAAGGGUUU
Molecule: unclassified non-coding RNA, 143 nt
Organism: Fukomys damarensis (Damara mole-rat)
Lineage: Eukaryota; Metazoa; Chordata; Mammalia; Rodentia; Bathyergidae
Source: Ensembl